GAUGAACGCUGGCGGCGUGCCUAAUACAUGCAAGUCGAGCGAAUGGAUUAAGAGCUUGCUCUUAUGAAGUUAGCGGCGGACGGGUGAGUAACACGUGGGUAACCUGCCCAUAAGACUGGGAUAACUCCGGGAAACCGGGGCUAAUACCGGAUAACAUUUUGAACCGCAUGGUUCGAAAUUGAAAGGCGGCUUCGGCUGUCACUUAUGGAUGGACCCGCGUCGCAUUAGCUAGUUGGUGAGGUAACGGCUAACCAAGGCAACGAUGCGUAGCUGACCUGAGAGGGUGAUCGGCCACACUGGGACUGAGACACGGCCCAGACUCCUACGGGAGGCAGCAGUAGGGAAUCUUCCGCAAUGGACGAAAGUCUGACGGAGCAACGCCGCGUGAGUGAUGAAGGCUUUCGGGUCGUAAAACUCUGUUGUUAGGGGAGAACAAGUGCUAGUUGAAUAAGCUGGCACCUUGACGGUACCUAACCAGAAAGCCACGGCUAACUACGUGCCAGCCGCCGCCGUAA
RNAcentral lists this ribosomal RNA (515 nucleotides) under uncultured bacterium. RNAcentral's name for it is "partial 16S ribosomal RNA". It matches the Rfam family "Bacterial small subunit ribosomal RNA", at positions 28 to 523 of the family's 1533-position model. The record is from RNAcentral.